Molecule: long non-coding RNA, 631 nt
Organism: Sapajus apella (tufted capuchin)
Lineage: Eukaryota; Metazoa; Chordata; Mammalia; Primates; Cebidae
Exons: 4
Source: RefSeq, a predicted model, not a curated record
GAAAGCAAUUUGAGCUCUUUAAGAGAAACUCCUCCCCUAUUCCCAUCCAGCACUACAUUAUGUCUUUCUAAAACUGGAGGGGUAGCCUGUUUUCUCUCUUUCUGUCUAUAUAACAUAUCACAAACAGUGAGAAGACAUAGGGUGACAGAACUGUGUGUUCCCAGAAAAGCUGGUGGAAAAAAAAAAAGAAAGGAAGUAAGAUUACAGAGUUGGUUUGAACAGCAGAAAGGUAACCUCUGUUGGCUUCACACAAACACUAACCAAUCUGUGAAUCACCAAUUCCCUAUGAGAUAUAAGCUGAAUUUGUGGGCAAGCCUUCUAAGGCCAGUCCUUCUAAGGGGAGGAAAAAGGGUCUUGUCUCAAGAAUCAAGUAAAGUGAAAUGCACCAUUCCAACUCUUUGUAAGGUUGAAUGAGGGUAUCAGUGUGCUAGAUGGCAGGGAAGCAGGAUUGGAACUCCAGACCCAGGCCCAGGAGCACAGCACAGUCUGGACAACUAAAGGAAAGGUAAAUGUGAUCAUGGCAUGACAUAGGGGCAACAAACUCUAACUAGAAGUCUUCCAUGGCAACUACUUCAAAAUAAAAGCAAGUCCUCACUUAACAUUGUAGAUUAGUUCUUGGAAACCAAGACUU